CUCGAGACGGCGGGGUAGAGGCCCGCCGCGGUAACGACGGUAACGGGGAAGUCAGGGUUCGAUUCCGGAGAGGGAGCCCGAGAAAACGGCUACCACUUCCAAGGAAGGCAGCAGGCGCGCAACUUACCCUAAUCUCGAUUCGAGGAGGUAGUGACAAGAAAUACCGAUGCGGGACCCUACGGGUGCCGCGUUCGGAAUGAGUACGAUUCGAACCACCUAACGAGGAACGAUCGGAGGGCAAGUCUGGUGCCAGCAGCCGCGGUAAUUCCAGCUCCAAUAGCGUACGUUAAAAGUUGCUGCAGUUAAAAAGACUCGUAGUUGAACGUUCGGGUUCCGCGGGACGGGGCCGCCCCGCGAGGGACGGCGCCGCCCCGGGGCUCGUGAUAUCUCAUCUCGCCGCCCGUCGCGAGGCGGACGGAGGGGAUGGAUGAGGUUACCUGGAAAAAAAUCGGGGCGAUCUAGGCGGG
This 467-nucleotide ribosomal RNA is filed under the name uncultured eukaryote. Its description in RNAcentral is "bacterial SSU rRNA". It matches the Rfam family "Eukaryotic small subunit ribosomal RNA", at positions 319 to 784 of the family's 1831-position model. The record is from RNAcentral.